Small nuclear RNA from Amaranthus tricolor (Joseph's coat), 99 nucleotides. The record is from RefSeq and is a predicted model, not a curated record. Lineage: Eukaryota; Viridiplantae; Streptophyta; Magnoliopsida; Caryophyllales; Amaranthaceae.
GUCUCCGAAACAUCUGAUAAAAUCAGAAUGAUACGGAGAAGAUUAGCAUGCCACUGCGCAAGGUUGACACGCACAAAUUGAGAAAUGGUCCAACCUUUU